UACGGAGGGUGCAAGCGUUGUCCGGAUUUAUUGGGUUUAAAGGGUGCGUAGGCGGCCCGUUAAGUCAGUGGUGAAAUCCCGCAGCUCAACUGCGGAACUGCCAUUGAUACUGGCGGGCUUGAGUACAGACGAGGUAGGCGGAAUUGACAGUGUAGCGGUGAAAUGCAUAGAUAUUGUCAAGAACACCGAUAGCGAAGGCA
RNAcentral lists this ribosomal RNA (200 nucleotides) under uncultured bacterium. Its description in RNAcentral is "partial 16S ribosomal RNA". It matches the Rfam family "Bacterial small subunit ribosomal RNA", at positions 524 to 723 of the family's 1533-position model. The record is from RNAcentral.